AUACGGAGGAUCCGAGCGUUAUCCGGAUUUACUGGGCGUAAAGGGUGCGCAGGCGGCCAUUUAAGUCAGCGGUUAAAUCGUGGGGCUCAACCCCAUUCUGCCGUUGAUACUGGGUGGCUUGAUUGCGGUCGAGGUUGGCGGAAUUCGUUGUGUAGCGGUGAAAUGCAUAGAUAUGACGAAGAACACCGAUUGCGUAGGCAGCUGACCAGACCGCAAAUGACGCUCAUGCACGAAAGUGCGGGGAUCGAACAGGAUUAGAUACCCUGGUAGUCCGCACAGUAAACGAUGAAUACUUGUUUUCGGCGAUAUAAUGUCGGAGGCAAAGCGAAAGCGAUAAGUAUUCCACCUGGGGAGUACGCCGGCAACGGUGAAACUCAAAGGAAUUGACGGGG
Molecule: ribosomal RNA, 392 nt
Filed under: uncultured bacterium
Lineage: Bacteria
Description: partial 16S ribosomal RNA
Rfam family: Bacterial small subunit ribosomal RNA
Source: RNAcentral